Molecule: ribosomal RNA, 460 nt
Filed under: uncultured bacterium
Lineage: Bacteria
Description: partial 16S ribosomal RNA
Rfam family: Bacterial small subunit ribosomal RNA
Source: RNAcentral
CCUACGGGUAGCAGCAGUGAGGAAUAUUGGUCAAUGGACGAGAGUCUGAACCAGCCAAGUAGCGUGAAGGAUGACUGCCCUAUGGGUUGUAAACUUCUUUUAUAUGGGAAUAAAAUGUUCCACGUGUGGGAUUUUGUAUGUACCAUAUGAAUAAGGAUCGGCUAACUCCGUGCCAGCAGCCGCGGUAAUACGGAGGAUCCGAGCGUUAUCCGGAUUUAUUGGGUUUAAAGGGAGCGUAGGUGGAUUGUUAAGUCAGUUGUGAAAGUUUGCGGCGCAACCGUAAAAUUGCAGUUGAGACUGGCAGUCUUGAGUACAGUAGAGGUGGGCGGAAUUCGUGGUGUAGCGGUGAAAUGCGUAGAUAUCACGAAGAACUCCGAUUGCGAAGGCAGUUCACUGGACUGAAACUGACACUGAGGCUCGAAAGUGUGGGUAUCAAACAGGAUUAGAUACCCUUGUAGUC